This 700-nucleotide ribosomal RNA is filed under the name uncultured Armatimonadota bacterium. RNAcentral's name for it is "bacterial SSU rRNA". It matches the Rfam family "Bacterial small subunit ribosomal RNA", at positions 94 to 810 of the family's 1533-position model. Lineage: Bacteria; Bacillati; Armatimonadota. The record is from RNAcentral.
AGUGGCGAACGGUCGCGUAACACGUAAGCAACCUGCCCUGAAGUGGGGGACAACAUCCCGAAAGGGGUGCUAAUACCGCAUGUGGUCACGAGUCGGCAUCGACUUGUGUCUAUAGAUUUAUCGCUUCAGGACGGGCUUGCGGCCUAUCAGGUAGUUGGUGGGGUAAUGGCCUACCAAGCCGACGACGGAUAGCUGGUCUGAGAGGACGAUCAGCCGGAUUGGGACUGAGAUACGGCCCAGACUCCUACGGGGGGCAGCAAUUAGGAAUCUUGCGCAAUGGGGGAAACCCUGACGCAGCGACGUCGCGUGAAGGAUGAAGGCCCUCGGGUCGUAAACUUCUUUUGAGUGGGAAGAAAUUUGACGGUACCACUCGAAUAAGCCCCGGCUAACUACGUGCCAGCAGCCGCGGUAAUACGUAGGGGGCGAGCGUUGUCCGAAGUUACUGGGCGUAAAGCGCGCGUAGGCGGUUAUUUAAGUCUGGGGUGAAAGGUUCAGCGCUCAACGUGAACAGUGCCUUGGAUACUGGAUGACUUGAGUCUGGGAGGGGGAAGGGGAAUUCCUGGUGUAGCGGUGAAAUGCGUAGAUAUCAGGAGGAACACCGGUGGCGAAGGCGCCUUCCUGGCCUAAGACUGACGCUGAGGUGCGAAAGCGUGGGGAGCAAACGGGAUUAGAUACCCCGGUAGUCCACGCCGUAAACGAU